This is a non-coding RNA of Pelobates cultripes (western spadefoot toad), 240 nucleotides long. Lineage: Eukaryota; Metazoa; Chordata; Amphibia; Anura; Pelobatidae. The record is from the annotation of a GenBank genome assembly.
GUGCUAGAGAUGGAGUGUAUUUGUGUUGGCAUUAAAAUGCUGGGAUGUAUGCAUUACCACACACUCAGAUGCACACUUACACACACUGACACAUACAUACACACACACACACACAAACACACACACAGGUACACAUACACACUGACACACAAGUACACAUACACAGGUAUACAUACACACAGAAACACUGACACACAGACAAACACAGCCAGAUACAAACACUGACACAAACACAGCCAG